This 292-nucleotide ribosomal RNA is filed under the name uncultured bacterium. RNAcentral's name for it is "partial 16S ribosomal RNA". It matches the Rfam family "Bacterial small subunit ribosomal RNA", at positions 505 to 796 of the family's 1533-position model. The record is from RNAcentral.
GUGCCAGCAGCCGCGGUAAUACGGAAGGGGCUAGCGUUGUUCGGAAUUACUGGGCGUAAAGCGCGCGUAGGCGGCUUUUCAAGUGAGGCGUGAAAGUCCUGGGCUCAACCUGGGGACGGCGCUUCAGACUGUCUGGCUAGAGUCCGGAAGAGGGUGGUGGAAUUCCGAGUGUAGAGGUGAAAUUCGUAGAUAUUCGGAGGAACACCGGUGGCGAAGGCGGCCACCUGGUCCGGUACUGACGCUCAAGUGCGAAAGCGUGGGGAGCAAACAGGAUUAGAUACCCUGGUAGUCC